CCACGCUGUAAACGAUGAGUGCUAGGUGUCGGGAGUCAAAUCUCGGUGCCGCAGCUAACGCAAUAAGCACUCCGCCUGGGGAGUACGUGCGCAAGCAUGAAACUCAAAGGAAUUGACGGGGACCCGCACAAGCAGCGGAGCAUGUGGUUUAAUUCGAAGCAACGCGAAAAACCUUACCAGGGCUUGACAUCUAGUGGACGAAUGUAGAGAUACAUUGUUUUCUUCGGAAACUGCUAGACAGGUGGUGCAUGGUUGU
RNAcentral lists this ribosomal RNA (256 nucleotides) under uncultured bacterium. RNAcentral describes it as "partial 16S ribosomal RNA". It matches the Rfam family "Bacterial small subunit ribosomal RNA", at positions 795 to 1052 of the family's 1533-position model. The record is from RNAcentral.